UACAGAGGGGGCAAGCGUUGUUCGGAAUUACUGGGCGUAAAGGGCGCGUAGGCGGCCUGCUAAGUCGAACGUGAAAUCCCUGGGCUCAACCCAGGAACUGCGUCCGAUACUGGUUGGCUUGAAUCCGGGAGAGGGAUGUGGAAUUCCAGGUGUAGCGGUGAAAUGCGCAGAUAUCGGGAGGAACACCAACGGCGAAGGCAGCACUCUGGGCUGGAACUGACGCUGAGGAGCGAAAGCGUGGGUAGCAAACAGG
This 253-nucleotide ribosomal RNA is filed under the name uncultured bacterium. Its description in RNAcentral is "partial 16S ribosomal RNA". It matches the Rfam family "Bacterial small subunit ribosomal RNA", at positions 524 to 776 of the family's 1533-position model. The record is from RNAcentral.